UCCUAGCGUACGUCUUUCAUUCGGUUCAGCUAUCGGUGAAUUUCGCUCCGAGCUGCCCUAUGAAGGACUGUCGCUAUUACG
This 81-nucleotide microRNA precursor is filed under the name Ascaris suum (pig roundworm). RNAcentral's name for it is "microRNA asu-mir-1822 precursor". The record is from miRBase by way of RNAcentral. Lineage: Eukaryota; Metazoa; Nematoda; Chromadorea; Rhabditida; Ascarididae.